This 254-nucleotide ribosomal RNA is filed under the name uncultured bacterium. Its description in RNAcentral is "partial 16S ribosomal RNA". It matches the Rfam family "Bacterial small subunit ribosomal RNA", at positions 524 to 776 of the family's 1533-position model. The record is from RNAcentral.
UACGGGAGGGUGCGAGCGUUAAUCGGAAUGACUGGGCGUAAAGGGCAUGUAGGCGGAUAAUUAAGUUAGGUGUGAAAGCCCCGGGCUCAACCUGGGAACUGCACUUAAAACUGGUUAUCUGGAGUAUUGUAGAGGAAGGUAGAAUUCCACGUGUAGCGGUGAAAUGCGUAGAGAUGUGGAGGAAUACCGGUGGCGAAGGCGGCCUUCUGGACAGAUACUGACGCUGAGAUGCGAAAGCGUGGGGAGCAAACAGG